CUGCUGAGUUUGCUGCUGCUAAAGGCUUUGAACCGUCUCCGUUAGUACCUUCAUUUGCUGCAUAAGUGCAGCAAUUUAUGCGUCUAUAGUAACUAUAGGACAUGAAAAACUGGGCUCUGCCACUAGAGAUGGGGGAGGAACAUCUUUUUGAGACUGCCUCGCUGAACCUAUUGAAUGCUGGGCUCUGAUUUUUUGCAUGGUUGAUUGUAUUCUCUCCCCUAUCUGGUGUGCCAAUUUGUUGUGGCCAAUCCCCUGUUGCACCCAUCGUCGGAGAAGAGCACCUGCAAAAGAAGUCCUCACU
Molecule: long non-coding RNA, 301 nt
Filed under: Elaeis guineensis (African oil palm)
Lineage: Eukaryota; Viridiplantae; Streptophyta; Magnoliopsida; Arecales; Arecaceae
Description: long non-coding RNA (EGUI_LNC074302)
Source: RNAcentral